GCCUGGCUGGCCCUGUCAGUAGAGUGUGUGACUCUUGAUCUCAGGAUCAUGAGUUCAAGCCCCAUGUUGGGUG
Molecule: transfer RNA, 73 nt
Filed under: Felis catus (domestic cat)
Lineage: Eukaryota; Metazoa; Chordata; Mammalia; Carnivora; Felidae
Also listed under: 2 other names
Rfam family: tRNA
About the family: Transfer RNA (tRNA) molecules are approximately 80 nucleotides in length. Their secondary structure includes four short double-helical elements and three loops (D, anti-codon, and T loops). Further hydrogen bonds mediate the characteristic L-shaped molecular structure. tRNAs have two regions of fundamental functional importance: the anti-codon, which is responsible for specific mRNA codon recognition, and the 3' end, to which the tRNAs corresponding amino acid is attached (by aminoacyl-tRNA synthetases). tRNAs cope with the degeneracy of the genetic code in two manners: having more than one tRNA (with a specific anti-codon) for a particular amino acid; and 'wobble' base-pairing, i.e. permitting non-standard base-pairing at the 3rd anti-codon position.
Source: Rfam by way of RNAcentral